RNAcentral lists this ribosomal RNA (253 nucleotides) under uncultured bacterium. RNAcentral describes it as "partial 16S ribosomal RNA". It matches the Rfam family "Bacterial small subunit ribosomal RNA", at positions 524 to 776 of the family's 1533-position model. The record is from RNAcentral.
UACGUAGGUGGCAAGCGUUGUCCGGAUUUACUGGGCGUAAAGAGCGCGCAGGCGGUCGUUCAAGUCGCGUGUGAAAGCCCCCGGCUCAACUGGGGAGGGUCACGCGAUACUGAUCGACUCGAAGGCAGGAGAGGGAAGUGGAAUUCCCGGUGUAGUGGUGAAAUGCGUAGAUAUCGGGAGGAGCACCAGUGGCGAAGGCGACUUCCUGGCCUGUUCUUGACGCUGAGGCGCGAAAGCUAGGGGAGCAAACGGG